AUUCGUGGAACUGCUGGGCGGCGUAUACAGGGGAGAGGCCCAGCCUCGCCAGGAUCUCUCGCUUAACUUCGGCAUAACUGUUGGCAGUUGUCAAGGUGAGCGAGAAGUAAGCCUUCUGUGCUUCACCGGUGAGGAGGGGUGCCAGCGCAUGUGCCGACUCGUGUUUUCGAAGACCUGAAGGAAGGCCUCCACAUCGUCAUCGGCUGUCAUCUUGGGUAAUAGGCGGGUGGCUUGUGCCAGAGGCUCAGGUAAUGGAACGCGCUGGGCUACAGCUCACUUCAGUGAGGCGUUGUAAGACGUCCUCCAUCAUCGGGACGCGCACGCCGCCUUCCGUGGUGCUGGUGACACAAACAGGGAAAGAGGGAAAAAAAAUUAGGAGUUGGGACGGUGAUCUUGCGGUAGUUCUUCACUGUUCUGCCUGCAUUCUCCACCACUGUCACGUGGUGAAGAACCACUCGUCAAGAGGUGCGUGAAAUCAAAAGCCCCGGAGGGUGGGUUUAAUAAAUAUUGUGGGGUGCCUGGUGAAAUGUGCUGCUCCGCUUUCUGGUGGCCGGUGCUUCCCAUAUGCUCUCCGUGCUCUUCGGUGCCAGUUAAGGUGAAAGUGGGUGUCCCUACGUGCUCCAAAGUGGGUGGGCUGUCGGUCACUCGCUGCUUUCGCUGCUAAAACAAGCCAUCAUAUUCAAUACAGCUUCUCUGUCAGUGAGAGAAUGUUGCUUUUUACAAUGUUAAGUGCAAAACCGGCCAACAUGAAAGAUCUCUCUGACAAAUGAACUGUGUUUUUUGCAAUGCAGAAACACAGUUUUUAAUGUGCUAGACUUUCAACAAGAACUCCAACUGAUACGACCGUAUAGGUCGUUUGUCACUAUCCUCAAAUACGACACAUACGAGCGUUCUCUAAAUUAGCGCCCCUAUUGGCAAUAGGAGAUAUGAUAUAUAAACUUUCGCCUAAAUGCAUUGUGGGUUUAUUUAAUAUGUUUGCUAUUUGCGUUUUGAAUUGUUUAUUUUAAACUCUCCCAGAUGUUCGAAAUGUUUUGCUAAAAAUAUAUGGAUUUUAGAUGACUUUGAGACAUGUACAGGUAGGGUUUCCACAUGUCUCAAAGUAGUUGAUCAUUUAUGAAUAAGAGUUUUUAUUUUCAAAUCGAUACAACCAGUUUGACAUCCAGAUCAUUCAAUCGAACUCUGCAGCAUUAUAAAGUUAGUUUUCAUAGUGAUAUUUGAAUAGUAGAAUAAUAAAGCUUGAAGAGACAGCUUUCUUCACCCUUAUUUUGUUACAUUUAAACACAAGACUCUGCCUUUCUCAGUCUGUUUCUCUUCUUCUUAGUCCUUUACUCCCUUCACUCACACAUUCUCUUUUGUUCUGUUGUAAGGUACAAACAGAGCGGAUGGUUGCAUGAUGGCCUCUUUCAGUUUUGUCAACUUAACGUCUACUAGUGAGGCUCAGCAAGUUCAUGUCAUGAUCACCUCUCUCCAAGAAAGCUGAAGAGCAAAAACACAAAGAACAUCAGUCCUGUUGGGGAUGAGGAAUGAACAUGGCUUUAUUGUGCCAAAACGGAAAAGACUGAAAAGCUGCUCAUUCUCAUUGAAAGACUGCAUCGAGAGGUACAGUAGAAGGAAAGCUGACACUGAAAACAUUUGUCUUCAAUGACAUGGUCCAGACUAAAGAGAAGCGGGUCUGAGGCCAGAAAUGGAGGAGUCAAUAGUCACCAAGUGCAGCGCUGCAGCCUGAAACUGUGUAGACUACAUUCCCAAACAGCUCUGUAACAGCACAGAUGUUACACCCAUAAAAGAAACUUCUCAACUGAGAGCCCAUACCUCCAACAACCUUCAACAGGAAUCAGUGGACAUCUACGCAAGGUUUUUCUUUUGUUGAGGACCGUCAGAGACUCCAGCCACACAAGCCAUGGAUUGCUCUCACCGUUUCCACCAGACAGACAUUUAUCACAGAACCAGCACCAGCAGACUGCAAGACAAGUUCCUUCCACAGGCAAUCAAACUGAACUGAACUCGUACCAGUAACACCACACACACACACACACACACACACACACACACACCAGCAGCAUCAUUCUGCACCCUGACAUUCUGUUUGCAGUAAUUCAUACUACUCUACAGUAUACACUGUAUACAGUAUACAGUGAUUGUUGUUUUUCAUUUAGUAUUGCACUAUAUUUUCUAACUGUAUUGAGCCCUUAUGUAUACUGUGUAUAUAUUUAAUACUGUAUAUGUGUUGCAAAUAUAUUCAGUACUUGUCAUGCUGUCAUGCUGCACAAAAGUUUACACAAAAGCAUUUCAUCACCUGUAUACCUGUAUUCAUGGUAUUGUGAUUAAUAAGGUGAUUUGAUUUGAAUUGGUCUCUUGAUUUGUUAAUCAGUUGUUCUGUUGUGCUGGAUAACAAUUGCAAAUUGUUUAUGACAUUGAAGAAGAUUAUGAUAGGGACAUGGAUUUGAAGAAACCAGGAGAGCUCUGAUGAUGAGAAUGAAACUGUCAUGAUUCUGCCCUCGUGUCCUUGAUUUUUUCCUAGGCUUGAGGCAGGAUCAUGACAGACCCGUGUUUUGGCCUUGUCUUUGGGCCAUGUGCUGGUGUUGUCUCGUUCCCUUGCCCCGCCCCCUUGUUAUUCUAGUUUUGUCGUGAUUGCCUUACCUGUGCCACCUGUUGUGUCUUGAUUAGUCUUCUUAUUUAUAUCCCCUAGGGUGCUCUUGUGCGGUUCAUUGUGUUUCUAUAUGUAAGAAUGUUAUAUUGUUACCCAUUGAAGAUACGUUGUCUAGCUUGUGAUUGUUUAUCUGUAGAGUUAGUGUUCUUGUGUUAAGAGUCUUUGUUUAUCGUGUCAACCUAGUCCUGUUAAGUUAUUUAGUCUCUGCCCUAGUUGUUGUUUUCCCCCUCGUGGGUUUUGUUUUUCCCCGUUUUUGCCUGUAAUAAACUGCCUGUGUAGUGA
Carassius auratus (goldfish) is the source of this 2932-nucleotide long non-coding RNA. RefSeq lists it as uncharacterized. The transcript has 4 exons. The record is from RefSeq and is a predicted model, not a curated record. Lineage: Eukaryota; Metazoa; Chordata; Actinopteri; Cypriniformes; Cyprinidae.